CCUUUUUGAGAAACAGGGAAUUCCCGCCUGGUAUGGCCCCCAGAGACUUCAGGAACAUAGAAAGGACUGGGCUACAACGGAUUCACCAAUUAUAUCAUGAGGGAGAGGUAAUACAGUUUGCAGAUCUUCAAGCAGGAAACCACCUAACCCCUGCAGAUUUCUUUAGGUAUGUCCAAAUACGGGACUUCGCCAAGAAGCCACAUAUCAAGUCGGCUGCCUCCGGGAGGCCCACUUUUUAUGAGAGGAUUUGCUCGGAGGGGGCAACCCCCCAGGGGUUGAUUACUCUCAUAUACGCACACCUCUGCGGAGAAAAUAAAGAAUGGGGAAGGUUAACUUACAUUGAUC
Pelobates cultripes (western spadefoot toad) is the source of this 345-nucleotide non-coding RNA. The record is from the annotation of a GenBank genome assembly. Lineage: Eukaryota; Metazoa; Chordata; Amphibia; Anura; Pelobatidae.